AUUAUCUUAGUAUAAAUAGUACAAUUAUUUUCCACAUAAUAAGAUUAAGUAGUAUUAAAGAUAAUA
This 66-nucleotide transfer RNA is filed under the name Lepidozona coreanica. RNAcentral describes it as "tRNA-Gly". Lineage: Eukaryota; Metazoa; Mollusca; Polyplacophora; Chitonida; Ischnochitonidae. The record is from RNAcentral.